UAGUAAUCAUGUGCGCUCAUUAAUCUUCUAUGUCAUCUAGGUAACUUUACACAAGAUAGUUAAAUAUUGUGUAAUCUAUUAAAUUGAAAAUUCCACAUAUAACCUUUGAUCCACUGACAGUUGGUGUGUUGUAUUUUACAUUUUGAUGCAUUUUAGAUCUUAUAGUUUACUAUAGAAUUGUCAAAAAAUAGAUAGGGAUUAAAUAAAUUUC
Molecule: long non-coding RNA, 211 nt
Filed under: Carica papaya (papaya)
Lineage: Eukaryota; Viridiplantae; Streptophyta; Magnoliopsida; Brassicales; Caricaceae
Description: long non-coding RNA (CPAP_LNC014140)
Source: RNAcentral